UACGUACUUCCUCCGUCCGAAAAAUACUUGUCAUCAAAAUAGAUAAAAAAAAAUGUAUAUAAAACUAAAAUACAUCUAGAUACAUGCUCUUUUAUCCAUUUUAAUGACAAAUAUUUUUGGACGAAGGGAGUAACAC
This is a non-coding RNA of Triticum aestivum (bread wheat), 136 nucleotides long. Lineage: Eukaryota; Viridiplantae; Streptophyta; Magnoliopsida; Poales; Poaceae. The record is from Rfam.